RNAcentral lists this ribosomal RNA (442 nucleotides) under uncultured Gammaproteobacteria bacterium. RNAcentral describes it as "bacterial SSU rRNA". It matches the Rfam family "Bacterial small subunit ribosomal RNA", at positions 397 to 830 of the family's 1533-position model. The record is from RNAcentral. Lineage: Bacteria; Pseudomonadati; Pseudomonadota; Gammaproteobacteria.
CCGCGUGUGUGAAGAAGGCCUUCGGGUUGUAAAGCACUUUCAGCGACGAGGAAGGAGUGUGUGUUAAUAAUGCAUAAUAUUGACGUUAGUCGCAGAAGAAGCACCGGCUAACUCCGUGCCAGCAGCCGCGGUAAUACAAGAGGGGGCAAGCGUUAAUCGGAAUUACUGGGCGUAAAGCGUACGUAGGCGGCGUGAUAAGCAAGAUGUGAAAGCCCCGGGCUCAACCUGGGAAUUGCAUUUUGAACUGGCAUGCUAAAGUCCUGAAGAGGGUGGUAGAAUUUCCAGUGUAGCGGUAAAAUGCGUAGAUAUUGGAAGGAAUACCAGUGGCGAAGGCGGCCACCUGGACAGAGACUGACGCUGAGGUACGAAAGCGUGGGGAGCAAACAGGAUUAGAUACCCUGGUAGUCCACGCCGUAAACGAUGUCCACUAGUUGUUCGUGUC